Mastomys coucha (southern multimammate mouse) is the source of this 334-nucleotide long non-coding RNA. RefSeq lists it as uncharacterized. Lineage: Eukaryota; Metazoa; Chordata; Mammalia; Rodentia; Muridae. The record is from RefSeq and is a predicted model, not a curated record. The transcript has 3 exons.
CAUCCCCAGUCUCCAAACGUAGCGGCCUCGCCUCCCCCCUCCAUCUUGGCUCCACCUAACCGCGCGCGCAGCGAGGAUGAACGCGACCCUCCCGGGAGAUAGAGAAGAUGGAGAUAUAAAUCAGCUCAGAGGGAAGAUAGGAUAGAAGGUUGUCACCAGAAUGUUAUUGAGAAGUCAGAGGAAUGUCGGAAGACUGGGGAUGUCCUACUGAGCCCUAUACACAAUAUCCAAGAUAUGGAACCAACCUAGAUGUCUACCAAUAGACAGAUGAAUAAAAAUGCACUGCACAGGCACAAUGGAGUCUUAUUCAACAAUAAAGAACAAGGAAACUGUA